CCGCAUCUGUGCAUGCAGCAUAUCAAUAAGCGGAGGAAAAGAAACUAACAAGGAUUCCCUUAGUAACGGCGAGUGAAGCGGGAAGAGCUCAAAUUUGAAAUCUUCAAGGUUUUACCUUGACGAAUUGUAGUUUAAAGAAGUGUUUUCUGCUGAAGUUUUGGUAAAAGUUCUUUGGAAUAGGACAUCAUAGAGGGUGAGAAUCCCGUAUUUGACCAUUAUUUUCAGCUUUGUGAUACACUUUCAAAGAGUCGGAUUGUUUGGGAAUGCAGUCCAAAAUGGGUGGUAAAUUUCAUCUAAAGCUAAAUAUUGGCGAGAGAUCCGAUAGCGAACAAGUACCGUGAGGGAAAGAUGAAAAGAACUUUGAAAAGAGAGUUAAACAGUACGUGAAAUUAGUCAAAAGGGAAGCGUUUGACACCAGUGUUGUUUUCUCGAAAAUCAAUUAAAAAUGGCUCGAUUUUGUAUUGCUGAGACCUUAAAAGCUCACUGUACAUUUUUCGUGUCUUUUUUAAUGCACUUUUCGUUUAACAAGUCAACAUCAGUUUCUUUUGUUGUAAAAGGGUCAUUGGAAGGUGGCUUUCUUUUCGGAGAAAGUGUUUAUAGCCUUUGGCCUCUGCAAUCGGAGAGACUGAGGUCUGCAGCGUAGACUCUUCGGGGUUAGAUACAUUUGUGCUAAGUUAUAGCUUUUUAUAGACAACUUGUUGACUAUAAUUAGUCUUGUAGCUUACUCGCUUAUGCUAUUUUACCUACGCUUAGGAUGUUGACACACGCGCGUGCUCGACUCUAUACAUGACUCUGUGCAUAUCAAUAAGCGGAGGAAAAGGAUGUUGAUUACCUACGCUUAGGAUGUUGAUAGUCACAGCGUGUAC
RNAcentral lists this ribosomal RNA (866 nucleotides) under uncultured Neocallimastigales. RNAcentral describes it as "partial large subunit ribosomal RNA". It matches the Rfam family "Eukaryotic large subunit ribosomal RNA", at positions 25 to 625 of the family's 3401-position model. The record is from RNAcentral. Lineage: Eukaryota; Fungi; Neocallimastigomycota; Neocallimastigomycetes; Neocallimastigales.